Molecule: long non-coding RNA, 213 nt
Filed under: Elaeis guineensis (African oil palm)
Lineage: Eukaryota; Viridiplantae; Streptophyta; Magnoliopsida; Arecales; Arecaceae
Description: long non-coding RNA (EGUI_LNC013722)
Source: RNAcentral
CUCUGUCAUUUCUGACUUGAAGUUCAGUGGUGCAAAGUUAGGCUCCAUGGUGGCCAUCUCUCUCUUGUGCAGGAAAGCCACUAAAAGAUGAAGAAGAGAGGAACUCGCAAUGGAAGGAGAAGGUAACCGCAACUUUGCAAGGUCCGUAUCUCGUCCUAUCUGAGAAUUUUAAAUAACCUCAGACUUGAACGAGACCACUAAAAGUCACACCCC